Molecule: ribosomal RNA, 242 nt
Filed under: uncultured bacterium
Lineage: Bacteria
Description: partial 16S ribosomal RNA
Rfam family: Bacterial small subunit ribosomal RNA
Source: RNAcentral
GACAGAGGGUGCAAACGUUGUUCGGAAUUACUGGGCGUAAAGCGCGUGUAGGCGGCUAAGUAAGUCGGGCGUGAAAUCCCACGGCUCAACCGUGGAAGUGCACUCGAAACUGCAUAGCUAGAGUCCUGGAGAGGAAGGUGGAAUGCUUGGUGUAGAGGUGAAAUUCGUAGAUAUCAAGCGGAACACCGGUGGCGAAGGCGGCCUUCUGGACAGUGACUGACGCUGAGGCGGCGAAAAGCGUG